ACAGAGGGUGCGAGCGUUAAUCGGAAUUACUGGGCGUAAAGCGAGCGUAGGUGGCUUGAUAAGUCAGAUGUGAAAGCCCCGGGCUUAACCUGGGAACGGCAUCUGAUACUGUUAGGCUAGAGUAGGUGAGAGGAAGGUAGAAUUCCAGGUGUAGCGGUGAAAUGCGUAGAGAUCUGGAGGAAUACCGAUGGCGAAGGCAGCCUUCUGGCAUCAUACUGACACUGAGGUUCGAAAGCGUGGGUAGCAAACAG
This 251-nucleotide ribosomal RNA is filed under the name uncultured bacterium. RNAcentral describes it as "partial 16S ribosomal RNA". It matches the Rfam family "Bacterial small subunit ribosomal RNA", at positions 525 to 775 of the family's 1533-position model. The record is from RNAcentral.